RNAcentral lists this ribosomal RNA (422 nucleotides) under uncultured bacterium. RNAcentral describes it as "partial 16S ribosomal RNA". It matches the Rfam family "Bacterial small subunit ribosomal RNA", at positions 360 to 774 of the family's 1533-position model. The record is from RNAcentral.
AAUAUUGGACAAUGGGGGCGACCCUGAUCCAGCCUUGCCGCGGGUGUGAAGAAGAACAUCGGAUCUUAACGCUCUUUACGUUGAGAGGAAGUGCUUUAGGUUAUUACUCUGAAGUUUUGAUGUUACCACUGUAAUACGCACCCGCUAACUUCGUGCUAGCAGCCGCGGUAAUACGAAGGGUGCAAGCGUUAAUCGGAAUUACUGGGCGUAAAGCGCGCGUAGGUGGUUUGUUAAGUUGGAAGUGAAAGCCCCGGGCUCAACCUGGGAACUGCUUUCAAAACUGGCAAGCUAGAGUAUGGCAGAGGGUGGUGGAAUUUCCUGUGUAGCGGUGAAAUGCGUAGAUAUAGGAAGGAACACCAGUGGCGAAGGCGACCACCUGGGCUAAUACUGACACUGAGGUGCGAAAGCGUGGGGAGCAAACA